UCGGAACGUGCCCAAUCGUGGGGGAUAACGCAGCGAAAGCUGUGCUAAUACCGCAUACAAUCUACGGAUGAAAGCAGGGGAUCGCAAGACCUUGCGCGAAUGGAGCGGCCGAUGGCAGAUUAGGUAGUUGGUGAGGUAAAGGCUCACCAAGCCUUCGAUCUGUAGCUGGUCUGAGAGGACGACCAGCCACACUGGGACUGAGACACGGCCCAGACUCCUACGGGAGGCAGCAGUGGGGAAUUUUGGACAAUGGGCGAAAGCCUGAUCCAGCCAUGCCGCGUGCAGGAUGAAGGCCUUCAGGUUGUAAACUGCUUUUGUACGGAACGAAACGGCCUUUUCUAAUAAAGAGGGCUAAUGACGGUACCGUAAGAAUAAGCACCGGCUAACUACGUGCCAGCAGCCGCGGUAAUACGUAGGGUGCAAGCGUUAAUCGGAAUUACUGGGCGUAAAGCGUGCGCAGGCGGUAAUGUAAGACAGUUGUGAAAUCCCCGGGCUCAACCUGGGAACUGCAUCUGUGACUGCAUUGCUGGAGUACGGCAGAGGGGGAUGGAAUUCCGCGUGUAGCAGUGAAAUGCGUAGAUAUGC
This 585-nucleotide ribosomal RNA is filed under the name Variovorax sp. 1.13. RNAcentral's name for it is "bacterial SSU rRNA". It matches the Rfam family "Bacterial small subunit ribosomal RNA", at positions 118 to 699 of the family's 1533-position model. Lineage: Bacteria; Pseudomonadati; Pseudomonadota; Betaproteobacteria; Burkholderiales; Comamonadaceae. The record is from RNAcentral.